Molecule: ribosomal RNA, 229 nt
Filed under: uncultured bacterium
Lineage: Bacteria
Description: partial 16S ribosomal RNA
Source: RNAcentral
ACGCUCGACACCUACGGGGGAGGCAGCAGGUGGGGAAUAUUGCACAAGUGGGGGAAACCCUGAUGCAGCAACGCCGCGUGAAGGAAGGUACGGUUUUCGGUAGUUAGUUAAACUUUCUUGUUCUCAGUAGAAGAUAGUGUACGGUAGACGUAAGGAGACAACGCCGACGGCUAACGUACGUCGCCAACGACGCCGGACGGUAAUCGUGGAGGCGGGCGUGGACGAAGGC